AUAAUUGCAGAUGAGUAGUACUAGUAAAUGAAAUAACAAAAUGCAAGAACUUAAUCAAACAUAAAACAAGUAAUUCAUUCCCAUUUCAGGAAAAGAUGAGCAUGGAAAAAGAUUAAUAAAUGCCACAGAAAGUAAGCUAUUUUUUGAAUUUAUUUGUUGUUAUGUUUAUAACAUUUAGUUUUCACUUCCAAAAAUAUUACCACUACUAGUAACAGUCGAAUAUAUAUUGUGUUCAUGGACAAACCCCACUAGCAUGAACAAGAAGAAACAAACAGCUUAACAGAUCCAUUGCAUAUUGGGAAACAAAACAAAUGACCACAAAUUUUCCAAUAUCUAUUGCACAUUAGACACAAAAGCAAGAGACUGCGCGAGAAAUAUAAUUGAGUUCAUAAUGCUACUGAAACAAUUAAAACAAGUAAAAUGAAGAAUAAAAUAUUGAGCAAGAAAAACCCUAGUUACAAAAUAAAAUCACCUUGAGAAAGCCAGCUCCAGCAA
Molecule: unclassified non-coding RNA, 495 nt
Filed under: Hevea brasiliensis (rubber tree)
Lineage: Eukaryota; Viridiplantae; Streptophyta; Magnoliopsida; Malpighiales; Euphorbiaceae
Source: RNAcentral